CUGUGUAAAUAAGUGUUCGAAAGAUAUCGUGACCUAACGAUAGAAUGUGUCAGGAAUGAAAUUCUUUAGAUAUAUGUUAUUUUGAAACCUACCUUGAAGCAGUUCUAAUUGAAGAAUGAGUUGUUAGAAAAAUGAAUCAACCAGUACCGAAACGUGACCUACAGGAAGUUUACCUGGAAAGAGAACGAAAAAUGUUAGCUGUUAUAAGGCCCAAAAACUUAGGAAAAUGAUUCGAAUCACUUGCACAGGUCUUGCGGGUACGGAUCCAGUAAUACUGAACAUCCGAUGUAGCCUUUAACAUAUUUUUUUUAUUAACUAGAGAAAAACAUUUAAUUCGAAACAAAAUAGAGAAAAAUUUCUAUAACUGAACAGCAUAAGUUGCCCCGACUGCGAUGCGGACUGAAGAUGUACGAUUGCGGAGUACGAGAGGGAUGCGACUGCUGUCAGAAGGCGUCCAUCUUCAGCUGUUGAUUGGUAGUCGAAUUCUUGGACUGACAAACACAACUUCUGGUUGACUGACAGUCGAAAUAAAAUUAAGAGCAACCUUCCGUGUCUAGAACGUCUGGAAGGGAAGCUCAGUUUUUCUUCGGGAGCUUUUGGAGUCUGAUUAUCCCGUACUGAACCAAACCUGGCAAUAAAAUUUAAAGGGUCAAUCCAGUAUAUUUUAAAGUUCAGUGUGUAAUAGGAGCUACUGAUAAAUUCAGUACAAAUUAUAAGAAAUUUCAAUGAAUCUCAGCAGCUUGUUAAAGCCAGUAUCAAAUAAAAGAAUUUCCUAUAAAUCCUAGCAGUUUUAUGUUAAUAUACAUAUUAAAAGAUAGUUAUUCAUCCAUUCGGUGGUCUUGAGGUUCGUUAUUUUUCAGUUUUAGUGUUACUUAAUUGGUAAGUUAUAAGUUUUGAAGUACAAAAAUGAAUAUAAUGUUUUGAAUUUUAUGUUUUAGGAAGAGAUACUUCUUCUGUUGGACAGAAACAUCAACAAUGUUGUCAUCAUACGUGGACACCCUGCUCUGUUGAAGAAUCCACUGGCCUUUCUAAAGCACUGGGUUGGAAAAAUCCGUUUAACAUGAAGAACAGUAGAUUUCUUAGGAUGGAACUACGAUUUACUAACGAUAAGUUUUUAAAUACAAACUUGUGCCUUUUUGUAUAAAAGAAUAUUACGAUUUCAGGCAUCCAAUCAAUCGUCAAAUGUGCUUUCGAUUUACAAGGAAAAACGCUAUAUGGUGCUGGAUACAAUUCCUCAGGGUUCACCGGAAUGGUGCUUUCUAUGCCCGAAAAAAAAGUGCAGCCUGGUUAUUAUUUUUCAGAGAAAAAGAUUCUUCCGAGGAGCGGUCUCCAAAGUUUUGUCGAGCAAUCAGAAGUUUUCAGCCCAAACGAGUAUCAGAACUUCCGCCGCUUGAAUCGGAAUCAGAUUCUGACGAUGAUAAUAACUAGAAUUCUGCAAUUUUGAACGAUUCCUUUUUACUGACCUCAUCGAAAACUAUUGAAGAAGUCAGCAGCUAGUCAAUGCACAGAAAUCGAUAACGACGACCAAACCCACGAAAGGUAAAGAGAACGAAGCUGAAUGACCAGCUUGGAAAAAAAAACUCGAUGACGCCGGCACCAGAAAAGCGAUUACCAUCGGAACCGCGAGCUCCAAAAUCGAACGAAGUAGCUGGAAACAGUAAAGAAUCUCCCCCAACGGUGAUUCCGGAAUCCAAUAU
Molecule: long non-coding RNA, 1697 nt
Organism: Uranotaenia lowii
Lineage: Eukaryota; Metazoa; Arthropoda; Insecta; Diptera; Culicidae
Exons: 3
Source: RefSeq, a predicted model, not a curated record